RNAcentral lists this ribosomal RNA (305 nucleotides) under uncultured bacterium. RNAcentral's name for it is "partial 16S ribosomal RNA". It matches the Rfam family "Bacterial small subunit ribosomal RNA", at positions 508 to 807 of the family's 1533-position model. The record is from RNAcentral.
ACAGCAGUAGCCGCGGUAAUACGGAGGGAGCUAGCGUUGUUCGGAAUUACUGGGCGUAAAGGGCGCGUAGGCGGUUUGGACAGUCAGAUGUGAAAUUCCUGGGCUUAACCUGGGGGCUGCAUUUGAUACGUUCAGGCUUGAGUGUGGAAGAGGGUCGUGGAAUUCCCAGUGUAGAGGUGAAAUUCGUAGAUAUUGGGAAGAACACCGGUGGCGAAGGCGGCGACCUGGUCCAUUACUGACGCUGAGGCGCGAAAGCGUGGGGAGCAAACAGGAUUAGAUACCCCCGUAGUCCCUGUCUCUUAUAC